GACGAACGCUGGCGGCGUGCUUAACACAUGCAAGUCGAACGGAAAGGCCUCUUUCGGGGGGUACUCGAGUGUCGAACGGGUGAGUAACACGUGAGUAACCUGCCCUUGACUUUGUGAUAACUUCAGGAAACUGUGGCUAUUACCGCAUAUGAGCUCCUGCUCCAUGGUGGGGGUUGGAAAGUUUCGGCGGUUGGGGAUGGACUCGCGGCUUAUCAGCUUGUUGGUGGGGUAGUGGCUUACCAAGGCUUUGACGGGUAGCCGGCCUGAGAGGGUGACCGGCAACAUUGGGACUGAGAUACGGCCCAGACUCCUACGGGAGGAAGCAGGGGGGAAUAUUGCAAAAUGGGGGGAAGCCUGAUGCAGCAACGCCGGGUGCGGGAUGACGGCCUUCGGGUUGUAAACCGCUUUCGCCGGUGACGAAGAUUGAGUGAAGGGAAUGGGUAAAGAAAGACCGGCUAAAUACGUG
RNAcentral lists this ribosomal RNA (466 nucleotides) under uncultured bacterium. Its description in RNAcentral is "partial 16S ribosomal RNA". It matches the Rfam family "Bacterial small subunit ribosomal RNA", at positions 28 to 507 of the family's 1533-position model. The record is from RNAcentral.